This is a long non-coding RNA of Cynoglossus semilaevis (tongue sole), 1015 nucleotides long. RefSeq lists it as uncharacterized. The record is from RefSeq and is a predicted model, not a curated record. Lineage: Eukaryota; Metazoa; Chordata; Actinopteri; Pleuronectiformes; Cynoglossidae. The transcript is spliced from 2 exons.
GCUGUAGGCUUUAAUUUUACCUUUAUUUAUUUUAUUUUUUUCCUCAAAAUAUAAAGCUAAGACUGCGAUCAAACAUGGCUGCCCUCACAGUAAACACCUAGCGGCCUACGCUCGAAAAUAGGGAUGUAAUGAUGCAUCGUGAAUCGGUUAAAAAAAAACAAUACAAAUGCGUGACAAUUCGCUUUAGUUGAAUCGGGGGAAAAAAAUCGCGUAUCAAGGCGCAAGGAGUAAGCUGCAUUAUCUCGAAAAGUGACAUCAUACCAUGAGACUACACACUCUACACUAGCACAGUAGGUGGCGGUAUGUAUGGAAGACCAAAAAAAAUAGAUUCUUAAGUCAAAAUAAUAAGAUACUUUCUCUUAAUAUUAAGAUAGUAUAAUAACGAGAAAAUAUGAAGUAAUGGUAUCAAAAUAUAAAACCGAUAAGUAUAAAAUUGUAUUGUGAAAAAAAAAAAAAUCGCAGCAUCCAUCUUAGCUUUGUAGGCUUCAAGUUUAGUUGAUAAACAAAAUUUAUCAGAGCAUUUAACACAGGCGUGGGCAAACCUGUGACUCGCGAGCCACAAUGGGUCCUAAAAUUGAACAGGGGGUGGGGGGGGUCAGGAGCAGAUAGAUGGAGUGUUUGUAUGAACUAAAACAAAAUGACUCGUAAAAGUCAGUCAGUUAAGGCUGAAAUGCUUUCAGCAUUGUCUAUGCCACCUAUUGGGAAAUGCGGGCAUUGCAGGGGAAGGGCAGAAAUAUAGUGAAAAUAGAAAUUAAUAACAUAAUUUGGAAAAUUCCAAUUCCACGUCCAGCCCCCGGGCCAUAGUUUGCCCACGCCUGAUCUAACAGAUUAACAGAAAAUGGAAGAACAGAUAGCAAAACAGUUGUGACUUUUAGAGGUUUAUUUUUAAAGCCACUUCAGUCGAGUAAACCAACAAUUAAAUAACAAUAACUACUUUAGUUACACACUUGUCUGAAUGUGUAAAUAUGGAAAACAAAACUUAAAGAAAAAAAAAAGACAUAUAGAGGUCAUUUAA